Non-coding RNA from Oryctolagus cuniculus (rabbit), 31812 nucleotides. NCBI's taxonomy places the organism in Eukaryota, Metazoa, Chordata, Mammalia, Lagomorpha, Leporidae. The record is from RefSeq and is a predicted model, not a curated record.
CCAUGCUCGGGAGCGGUGCAUUCUGGGAAUCGUAGUCUUCUUAAGUCCGGGCGGGACACUUAGGCCGCCACCGGAACUACAAUGCCCGAGAUGCGCCAAGGUCCGACGCACCCGGAGCGAAGGAGUGAAGGGACCUCGGCCGCCAUGUUAGGAGUCUGGGACGACUCCGCGGAACCGGGAGAGGCUGUAGGGAACGCGGGAGCUGAGUGGUGGUGCAGUGGGGACGAGUCUGUCUACACUGUGGGAAGAUGGUAAAGUGCUUUUCCUCCUGAGGCUGUCUGGAAGGGUUAAAAAUGAUGAUGAUAUGUACUUUGUGCUGUUCCCCCCUCCCCUUUUCCACAUUAUUCUGAAAACAAAAUUUAUAGUUACCUUGAGUCAGUUAAGUUAAUGCACUACACCUCUCUGUUAGGAGUUAAUAAAGUUACAGCUGAUGAGUCCUGGUCUCAAAAGAAACAAUAGGCAGAGUGAUUAAAAUGUCCACAACAUGAUUUAGAAGAAAAGUCUGGGAAGUACACAGAUGAUAACUACAAAAACAGUUUUUUGAAGAAUGGUCUUGUAUGUAAUGUUUCAGAGAACAGGUCACAAGAUGAAUAGUUUUGUUUCAUUUUAGGACAAAGGUAUAAGUGUUGGUGACACUUGUCCAAGAAUCCAGCGGUGAAAUAGGCUUAUACAAAUACUUGUUAAUCUAAAACACUUUUACAAGCAAUGAUGGUAAGUAAAGGAAAAGAAACAAAAUGUUUAUCGUUUUCUUUCUGACCUUUAAUUUGUAGAAAUGUUUCAAGCUUAUCGUGAAUCUUACUUUUUAAGAUACUUUAUGUAAGUCAUAACCUCCAUUUUGAUUUACUGUUAAGAUAUUUUUAGGGGAAAAGAAGCAACAGAUUGCUCAGAAGUUGUGUGUGUGUGAAAAACUUUGUAAUGCAGUGAUUUCUAUAAUUUGUCACAUAUUGGGUAGUUUGAAGUUUUCCCAACCUUAAAUCUAAUGAACAACUAAUCAGAAAGACAUGAAACAAAUCAUUUUCAUCUUUAAAAAGAUUAUGAUGUAACAUUUUGCACUUAGAAACAAGUCUUGCGCUCUUUAGAAAUUCCAUUUACAAAAUUAAGAUUUGAAAAUGUAGUGAUGUUUGGUAGAGUAGGGAAACCUUGUGAAAGUAGAAUUAGAAAUGCCUUCAGGAGAUAAGGCAACCCAUGUUCUUUUCAUCUUCAAAAGGAAUUAGAACAUUGAUUUGUAUUAUGGGAAACUCACUAAAGGAAUAUUGAGUAAUUUGCUGUUAACAUUGAGAGUGUUUCAAAGAGGUAAGUGUCAGAUCACUUACAGAAUUGUGAAAAGGUAGUUAUUGCUACCCAUUUGCAUUGAAUUUUCCAGGGUUGGAACCAAGUAUUGAGUAUUUUUAAGGUUCUAUAGGUAAGUCUACAUGGAUUGAGUGGAAUGGUCUGCUACAUCCUGUAUUUGGAUUUUUGUAGUAUAUCACACAAAUAAUCACGAAAAUUUUAGGUUUACUGCUGAUUGUACCCAUGAAUGAAUUCUGAAAAUAUAGAGGGGAAUAAAUUUGGUGAUCACCUUAUAUGGGGCAGUGGCAGGAGGGCCAUGAAGUGGGAGGGAAAAAGCUGAACAUUUCUUUGAGUGUCUUAGACACCCAAUAAGAAUUCAGUGCUAUGAUGGAAUUAUGAUAGUUAUUUAGAAACUUUUUGAAAAUCGAGACAUUUGGGGCCAGUGUUGUAUCUUAGCACGUUCAACCCCUGCUUGUGACGCCAGUAUUACGUACCAGAGUGCCAAUUCCUUGUGGCUGCUUAGCUCCCAAUCCAGCUUCUUGCUACCAUGCUUGGAAAAGCCACAGAUGAUGGCCCAGGUGCUUGAGUUCCUGCCUCCCAUGUGGGAGACCAGGAUGGAGUUGCUGACUCUUGGCUUUGGCCUGAUCCAGCCUUAGUAUCACAGGCAGUUUGGGGACGGGGAACAAUGGAUGGAAAAUUCUCAACCACUCGCCUCUUUGCCUCUCCCCCAACUUUUCCCUCUCCAUCACUCUGACAUUCAAAUAAGUCUUUUUGUUAAAAAUUGAAGCAUCUAGAAAGAAGGGCAAUAUAUUUUUGGGCUUUUUCUGAAAAUAGUUUCUUUGUAAUAAUGUAUUUCCUUGUCCUAAGUUAACUUAGUAUUAAAACUUAACAGUAGUCAUACUGCACACUAGUGGCAAGAGGCAGAGCUGGAGUUUUCUGUUUUUUCCUAUUCAGUAUUAGUGGUACAGCAAAUUAGCUUUGUUUCUCUACUCUUUAAACUCUUUUCCCCUCACAAUACUCAUUUUAAUUUCUUAAGAGUUUGAUUCAGCUAAGAAGUUCAUAUUUACCUUUAAUAAGUGGGGCUUGGAGUCUAAUUUAAAGAGUACUCAUUGAAUUUCAGAUUUAGAUACUUCAGAGUGGUCAGAUACUAAACAAACUUUCCAGAGUGGUUUGAUACAUUUAGUAGUGGAAGGUCCCUGUUUACAGAUUAAGAAAUGGAAUAAGUGACUUGUGGUCACAUAGGUAAUGUAGUCUUCCCGAUUCUUAUCAAGUAUACCAUUAUAUAAUCUUGGUAACAGAUUAUGCCUUCUGAAGUAAAUGAAAGUAGUUCUGAGGCAAAUCAAGAAUAGAAACCCUUGGUUCUAUCCUGUUGUGUUUGCUGUUUUAAAUGAUUUUUUUUUUUUAAAGAUUUAUCUAUUUGAAAGAGAGGUCCUCCGUCUGCUGGUUCACUCCCCAAGUGUCUGCAGUGGCUGCAGCUGGGCCAAUCUGAAGCCAGGAGCUUCUUCAGGUCUCCCACAUAGGCGCAGGGGUCCAAGCACUAGGGCCGUCCUUCACUGCUUUCCCAGAUCAUAAGCCAGGAAUUGGAUCAGAGGAGGAGCAGCUGGAACAUGAACUGGUGCCCAUAUGAGAUGCUAACACUGCAAGCAGAUGCUUAGGCUAUUAUAAUACAGCACCAGGCCCAUAAAAUGACUUUUCUAGGUUGGCAAUCAUCUAGUUCCAGACUUAUGGCUGUUUGUUUACUAAAAUUUUCUUCUAUUUAGCAGUGCUGUGAUUUUAGUUUCACUCUUUAAGAAAGGUAAACAUGGUCGGCGCCGUGGCUCACUAGGCUAAUCCUCCAGCUAGCGGCACCAGCACACCGGGUUCUAGUCCUGGUCGGGGCGCCAGAUUCUGUCCCGGUUGCCCCUCUUCCAGGCCAGCUCUCUGCUGUGGCCAGGGAGUGCAGUGGAGGAUGCCCAAGUGCUUGGGCCCUGUACCCCAUGGGAGACCAGGAUAAGUACCUGGCUCCUGCCAUUGGAUCAGCGCAGUGCACCGGCCACGGCGGCCAUUGGAGGGUGAACCAAUGGCAAAGGAAGACCUUUCUCUCUGUCUCUCUCUCUCACUGUCCACUCUGCCUGUCAAAAAAAUAAACAGCCGGCCGGCACUGUGGUGCAAUGGGUUAAUGCCCUUGCCUGAAGUGCCGGCAUCCCAUAUGAGUGUGAGUUCGAGACCCAGCUGCUGCUCUUCCCAUCUAGCUCUCUGCUAUGGCCUGGGAGAGCAGUAGAAGAUGGCCCAAGUCCUUGGGCCCCUGCACCUGCGUGGGAGACCUGGAGGUAACUUCUGGCCAUUGUAGCCAAUUGGGGAUUGAACCAUUGGAUGGAAGACCUCUCUGCCUCUCUUCUCUCUGUGUAACUCUGACUUUCAAAUAAAUAUAUAAAUCUUUAAAAAAAAAUAAAAGUAAACAGCACUGUAGAGAAUGAGUAUAAAUCAGUGGUUUGAAGACCACUGAGAUUAGUAGAAUAAUUACUAAAUAGUUACAUAAUUGCCAUAUUAUCCCAAGGUAUUGACCAGCUGAAAGUCCUGAAUGUAAAUGCAAAUAAAUGGAACAUAGAUCUCACUGGUAACAAUGGAGUCUUUGGCAAGGGUUAGCAUUGAGGGACCUUUGAAGACAAUCCGUAUUGGAAAGAGAAUGCCUUAAUACAUUAAGAGAAAAGGGAGGGACUUAAUGCAUUUUAGACCUGAAAAAAAGAUUUUAGUUUGGUUUUUGUGCUCCUAUCACCAUGGUAAGAUCAUUUUGUUGCUGCACAUUAGCAUCAAUUAGAAAAGAAUUGUUUUGGGGUUGCUUUUAACCCUGAGUUUUUUAGCUCCCUAAGUUUGUUUAGGGUCCAUAAACUUUCAAUACUUCAUAUUUUAUAUUUGAGUAAACAAUAUUCAGAAAAUUAUAAAAGUAUAGUUUUCUUACCUUGGUAACUCAAGUGGUGUUUGUAAUAAAUUGGCAUAAUUUUAGCUACUGGACUUAAUCUGCCACUGAAGAUAAAUGUAAAUAUCCUAAGGUCAAGAGUCAAAAUCCAACUGUGUGAUAAGUUCUCAUCAAAAUAACAUCCAUUUCUUUGAUACAGUGAUGACAGGGCUGCAGUCUUUCGACUUGUAUCACCUAAGGAAUGUUUCAUUGCUUGUUAUUGAAUUAUUUUACAAAGCAGCUAUAGUGGUGGCUGAAUUUUUAAAAUUCCAUAAUUAAAGAUUUCACCUCUGUACCUUGAAAAAGUUCCACAGCUGAUUAAGAACAUGAAGCCCUGUUGAGAAUCACUGUAGCAGUUCCUUUUUAGAAAUGUUUUAAAUUAAGAAAAAGAAUUGUUUUGCCUUAUGAAGUACCAAAGGAAUACUUUUAGGGUGGGCAUUGUAGCACAGUGCAUUAAGCUUCGGCUUGGGACAGCUGUGUUCCAUGUCUGAGUGCCAGUUCAAGUCCUGCCUCUGAUUGCAAUGCAGCUUCCUGUUACUGAAUCCUGGGAGGCAGCAGAUAAUGACUUAGGUACUUGUGGGUACCCAGGUGGAGCUCUGGCUUUGGGAUGGCAAGGCCCUGGCUGUUGAGGCCUCUGGGGAGUGAACCAAUGAAUGAAGAUCGAUCAUUCUCUUUCAAGUAGAUGAAACUAAAAACCAACAUUUUGAAUAAUGUUUUUAUGUUCCAAGCUCCAACAUUUUGAAGUAAUGUUUUUAUAUUCCAAGCUAUGAAGUUUGAGACAACUGCUGUUAAGUUUGUCUACCUUUCUUCUGAAAUUGAUGUUUAUUUUUCAGAAGUGAUAGGCCAACAGCCCAAAGGUAAUAUAGGCCCAGCUGCUAUAUUGAAAAUCAAUCAGAGUUGAAAUAAUAAGUAAAUUUAAGGGGGGAACAUUUUACCAAAAUAUCUUUAGAAACAUCACCUUGGAUAGAGUUAAAUGUUUUCUACAGGUUCUACAUACCUGUAAUUGGCAUGAAUGAAUGUACCAUAUAGAUUUUGGCAAUUAAGAUUUUCUCCUGUAACUGCAGCAACUAAAUAGCAUGUACCAAAUGUGUAUUUUAAACAGUAAGAAAACUUUUCAAUACUUCAUAUCUUAAAAGUCUUUUUCUUUGAGUAAACAAUAUUCAGGAAAUUAUAAAAGUAUAGUUUUCUUACCUUGGCUGGUAACACAAGUAGUGUUUGUAACAAAUUGGCAUAAUUUUAGCUGCUGGAUUUAAUCUGCCACUGAAGAUAAAUGUAAGUAUCCCAAGGUCAAAAGUCCAAAUCCAACUGCCCAUACUUAAUAAUUAACAAGAAAAGCAAGUCCUAUUUAUCCUGUGAUUUUACUUGUCAGUUUUAAACAGGUUUGGAUACUUGAGGGGACCCAGCAUUGUGGCACAGUGGGUUAAGCUGCUGCUUGAGAACAAUACCAUCCCAUCUCAGAGUGCUGGUUCAAGUCCUGGUUGCCCUGCUUGCAGUCCAGCUUCCUGCUACUGUUUCUGGGAAGGCACUGGAUAAUGGCCCAAGUGCUUAGGACCCAUACCUUACAAAUGGGAAGACCCUGUGGAGUUCCUGGCUCUUGGCUUCAUCUUGGACCAACCCUGGUUUUUAUGGUCAUUUGGGGAGUGAACCAGCAGCUGGAAGAUUUCUCUGUGUGUGUAUGUGUGUCUCCCUCUCUGGUGCUCUGCCCUUCAAAUAGAUAAGUCUAAAGAAGGUGGGGGAGAGGGCACUAGGAAAACAGUUCUUUGCAAGAGUGUAUGAAGAUGAAUGUACUGAAUAUAAAUGCUGUAUGUUCAUGAAUAUAGAUAUUUAAGGAGAGUACUGUCUGCACAUGAACUUGCUGUAAAGGUUAAUCUAUUAGUUUUAAACCUGAUUUUAACAGCUUUGUUGAGAUCUAAUUCACAUGACCUGCAGUUUGACCAUUUGUAGACAAUGGGCUUGUUCACUAUUGUGUAACCAUCACCACAAUCAAUUUUAGAACAUGUUUAUCACCCAGUAAAGAAACUACUUAUCCACCCUCUACCACAACCUUUUUAGGAAUGUUCAUCAGUCACUCUGCCCAACUCCUUAUUUUAUGAAUUUAGUACAUAGAUGCUUUCCAAACUCAUUGGCUCCCAGACUUGUUUGAGCUUCUUUAUUACCAGCAGUUAAAAUUCAAUAGUCAUAAUUGUUGACUUAACCUAAGCAAUGCAUUAUUUCCUUCUCUUCCCUCUUCUGCACUUUUGUAUUUAAGUGCUGAGUGGAAGCUUUUAUAAUUCUUUAGUGCCUUUCCCCAUCAGAUUGGACAGUAUUCUUUUGUUUGAAUAUCAGUGUAUGUGGAGUCAUUUCCUUGUGAAUGGUUUGUGGUUUAUAUGAAAGAAAACUAGAAAAUUUUGUUGUUGCCUAUAAAUGGUAAUACACAAAGUACAUCAUUGCAGAUAAUACUGACAUGAGAGAAAACUAUAAUUGGAAUACUGUUUAAGUUUCAAAUGUGAAGUAUAAAUGAUCUUUACUGGUCACAUGCUAUUUUGAUUUACUUACCAUAAGUGGUGUAGUACAACAUUCUCACAGUUGAGGAUUUAUUAAAUGAAAUUUUUGGUGAACUAUUACCUUUUUUCAACACUUAGAAUUCUACACUGCCCUGAAAUCCAGCCAAAAAGAGAUAGGGAAGAACUCUACGGUACUCCAGUAAUUUUUAAAAGAUGAUUUUCUUUUGGUUAUUUUUCAGGACUUUUUUAAUUGCUUUUCUGACCAAACUUGUACUCCAAGUACAGUGCAAAUUACUCGAUUGCCAAAAAAAGUGUGGUAAUGACAAUGAGUCUCAGCUUCUUUUGAGAGAAUAACUUGGUUAUAAAAGAUGGUGUUUGCUCUUCACAUUUAACAUAAUUCUUAUCUCCUAACCAAACAUAAGUGGGAUCCUCACAACCGCUGUUGGAGAAAAUAAUUGGCGCUCGGUUGAACCAGGAAGUUAGAUUUGAACAGGAUUUGUUCUUGCCUUGCUAUGUUUAUCAAUAUACAUUAUCUAGAGAAGAAAUCUGAGACACUUGAAUUUGAUAGAUUCGUUAUGUGAGUGAAGUAUGAUUUUGCAAAUACAGAAAGAUGCACAAGGAGAAAAAGCAACUGAUAAUCUCAAGGAAACAAAGUCCACAAAACCCAGAAAGUCCAAUUUUUCCAUUACCUGAACUCAGCCCAUUACCCAAUAAUUUAAAUGAGCUGUUUUAUCUCUUCAGAGACAACUACAGAAUAAACAGAAGUCCAUAAGAGAAAAAAAAACUGCAAAGAUGGGUAAUGGUUCAUAUCAUAAAAUGCAACCAAGGAAGUUGAUCAUUACAGCAUCUGUAACCCAGUAUGUUCAAAUAUUUCAUUUCUUCUGAGGUAUACAACAGAAAAAAGAACCUGAGGUUUCCAAGAAAAUAAAAGGUUAACUGCCAGUUGAAUUGCUCCCUGCUGUUAAGACAAUCUGAACUACAGUGCAUAGUACAAGGCCAUAUAUGUGCAAAGAGUACUCCCUUAGUCUCAGAAGUUUAGGCUAAAUUCUAACGCUAUGUCCUUAUAUGUCACAGUCUAGAGGGAGGAAGAGACAUGAAAAUAAUGUUAAUAUGGCCAUUAUUUUUGUCAUGGGCCCAAACAUACCCAGAAUCAGAAAGGUAUUUGGCACCCACGUUUAACUGCUAAGUUAGUUAUUUAAAGUUACUGUGUUUUUGGUUUUUUUUGACAGGCAGAGUUAGAAAGGUCUUCCAUUGGUUCACUCCCCAAAUGGCUGCUACAGCCGGCACACUGCAUGGAUCUGAAGCCAGGAGCCAGGUGCUUUCUCCUGGUCUCCCAUGCGGGUGCAAGCCCAAGCACUUGGGCCAUCCUCCACUGCCUUCCCUGGCCGCAGCAGAGAGCUGGACUGGAAGAAGAGCAACCGGGACAGAAUCCGGCACCCCAACCGGGACUAGAACCCGGGGUGCAGCGCCGCAGGCAGAGGAUUAGCCAAAUGAGCCGUGGCCCCAGCCAAGUUAAUGUUAAUAUCAGUUAUUAAUACUUAGGAGGCUGUGAUAAAAGUUUAGCUUCAUGUAGGUGGUUCAUUUAUGUGCCUGAACCUGAGGAGAAAUUCAAAAAUUGUUGUUACUUGAGGUAACUCCAUUUUUACAUAUAUUUGAUACUAUGAUAGAAUUAGCUUGAAACAACAUUUAACAGUUUGCAGAUUAAUAGCAAAUUCCUCUGAUAAUACUGGCAGAGACAUUUUAUUAAAAUAUUUCUGUAUUUAUUGAGGUCAAUGCAGAACUAGAGCCUAGUUGUCACAUUGUAUUUAUACUAUUAUGAUGGAUAUAUCUGCUUAAGAUCAUUACCAUGUAAUCAUGGAAAGUUGAAAGUAGUUUAGUCAAAUAUGGGUUUAAGUAUAGAUCCCAGUUUGAAUUCAGUGCUUAUUUUUUCAAUGCUAAUUAGGAGACUGAAUACUAUAAAAAUAAAGUACCUACUUCACUGGAUUUUCCAAAGAAAUAAAGAAAUGUGUGAAUACUAAAUAAAUAUUCAAAAGGCAGCAUAGUGUAGUGACCAAGAAUAUAAACUGCAGAGCCAAUUGGCCUGCCAAUCACUUGACUUUGAGCAAGUUAUUUAAUUCUGCCUCAGUUUCUUUGAAGUGGGAAUACAUCCUCACUAGGUUGCUGGAAUAAUCAAAUUAUGUACAGCAGUGUCAUGUGUGAGAUCACUUUUUGAGGCAAAACAUUUUUUGCACUGAUUUUAAUAGAGGUAUUUAAAAAAAGCAUUUUUUGGAAAAUUGAUUUUAUUUGAAAGUCUGAGUUACUGAGAGGGAGAAAGCAAGAUCCUUCAUCCUUUGGUUCACUCCCCAAAUUGCUGCAGUGGCCAGGGCUGCGUCACUUUGAAGCCAGGAACUCCAUCUGGGUCUUCCAUGUGGGUGGCUGGGGAGCAAGUGCUUGGUCUGUCUGCCCCUGUUUUCCCAGGCACACGAGCAGGGAGCUGGAUUGGAGGUGCAGUGCCCUAAUAUGAGAUGCUGGCGUAGCAGGUAAAUGCUUAACCUGCUGUACCAUGAUGCCAACCCUACAGAAAACUAAACCAUACUAUUUAUUUAUUUAUUUAUUUGACAGGCAGAGUUAGAGAAAGAGACAGAGAAAUGUCUUCCUUCCAUUGGUUCACCCCCCAAAUGGCCGCUACGGCCAGUGCGCUGUGCUGAUCUGAAGCCAGGAGCCAGGUGCUUCCUCCUGGUCUCCCAUGCGGGUGCAGGGCCCAAGGACCUGGGCCAUCCUCCACUGCCUUCCCAGGCCACAGCAGAGAGCUGGACUGGAAGAGGGGCAACUGGGACUAGAACCCAGGGUGCUGGCGCCACAGGCGGAGGAUUAGCCUAGUGAGCUGCGGUGCUGGCCCUAAACCAUUUUUAAUCAUGAAGAAUAUGGUUUUCUCUUUCUUAGGUAUUGUAAAGUAAUGUUGCAUCAGUUUUAACUUCACCAGGUACCUAGCUUAGUAAAUGGUGCUUUGUAUGUUAUAUAAAUGUUAUGUGUAUAUAUGAAGAAUUUUAAAUUACCUGAGUUAUUCUAAUUCUAUAACUGACAUUUAAAGAUUGAGAUAAGGAAAGUAUUUUCUGAGUAAUGAAAAUGUAACCAUAUUCAGAAUUUGAUUUGCAAAUACUAGAAAUGAGUUCAAGCUAUAUAGCUCACUUGAAUGUUGGAUUUCCAAGAAUUCCAAAGGCAUAGCUAAAUAGGAAGAAUUACUUUAGGGUCACACCUGGAUGCUGGAUUUCUGUUCUAGUAACAACUAUGGAGUCAGCUUGAACAAAUAACAUUUUUAAUAUAUCCUUAUUUUUAUAACAUUUGACAACACCAAAUACAUAGUUGUCUGUAAUGUUAGUUCUCUAAAGAUGGUCUACCAACUUCCAGUAUCAGAAUCUCCUGGGAUACAGGCUAAAAAUACAGAUAAUGGUGUCUCAAUCUAGAUAUACUGCUUUAAAAUUUGAGAGUUAAGUAUGGGAAUCCUCAUUUAUAGUAAGUUUAUUAGAUGAUUCUUCCACCUAAUUCAAUUACCAGUUUUACAUGAAAGCAGCAAGGUAAGUAACUUGUCACAGUCAGGCUUUUAAAUAUAGAGUCUUGGUUCCUUUGUGUGUUCCUGAUUUAUUUUUUCCAUGAUUCUCCUUACUCUUGCUACAAUUUGAAGAAAAUUGCCAGAAUUUUAAAUAGGUUCCCAUCUAUGUAUUCAUAUUCUAUGUUCAUAUUCAGUGAAGAAUGGAGUCCAAUCACUUGAGCAAGUAUUACUUAUGCACAAAGGUUUAUAGAAAAGUACAUUCAUGGCAAUUAACUAAAUAUAAAUAUAAUCAGUUUCAUACUUCAUCUUAAGCAUUUAAUUUUCUAAGUUUUUAAUUAAGCUCUACAGUACUCUUAUAGACAUCUAGAAUAUCAGUAUUUUGGGGGCACAGUUUCAACCAGUUCUAAACCUAUUUCAUUCUGUAACCAUGUAUUGAGUAAAUAUACCAAGUACAGAGAGGUACAAAGAGGACCGUGGCUCUAAACCAUUAGACUCUUCUCCUUAGUGCUGUGGACCCGUUUGUCAGUGUAGUAAAGUUCAUGAUUCACUUGUCAAAAAACAGUUAACAUGUUAAAUACAAUUGGAGCCAGUAGUACUGAAAUGUUAUCACAAAAUGUAAAAUUUUUGAGACACAAAAAUAAGUAUUUGUUAACUCGAGAGGUCUAGCAGUGGCUCAACAAUUCAUUUCAACAUAGUGGUGAGGAUGAGUGGUAUUUUAAGUGUUCUGCAACAAUUGUAAUAUGAAACUACAUUCAAUGUGAGUCACAUAUACUACUAGCUACUGUUAUUGUCGACAUUCAAAUAUUAAAAAUUACCAGGAGUAGUAACUUUCCAUCCUUUUUCCAUCCAAGUUCAUGGGCCCCCUAAAUUCUGUCUAUAAACUUACCAAGGCUUGGGUAAGAUCUCUAGAGACUUAAGUAUAAAAAUUUGUUGUGCCUUAACCAAUAUAAUGUACAAUCAAAAUAUUCACGCCAUAAGAGAAGUCUAAGGAAAUUCUCAUUUUCCCAUAGUGAAGGCUAAGAAACUUCUUAGAAAAUGCUAAAUUACUUCUACUUGUUUCAUCAGGCAGUAGCUCCUUUGCUGAGUGUGAGUUUAGUAUCCAAGCUUAGCUGUAUCCACUACAUUUAGUACCUAGUUAAAGCUCAAUAGAAUAAGUUAAUAUUUUCAAUGAGAAGUUUGAAAUUUUAAAGAACAUUCAUAACAGGAAAACAAAACAUGGAAUAGUGUGCUGUAGGUGAAUACAUUGAAGGUAUUUGUGGCCAAAUAAUGUCCAUUGCGGUUAGAAUUGAAGAGUAGGGCUAGCAUCCUCAAAUGAUCUCACUAAUGUGUAAGCUCUGUGAGAAUUUUUGGCCACUUUGUUGACAAUGUGAUAUAUACCAAAAAGUCUAGCAACUUGGGUACCUCAGUUCUUUAGACAUUCUCAAACAUUACAGAAUUAACCCAGCUCCAGCUGCGGAAAUUUAAAAUGCAUCUUUUUCCUAGUAGACAUUCAAUAAAUAAAUGAAGGACAGUUUUUUUUUUUCCUUAACAGAAAGCAAAUUUGUAUUGCCAUAAAUAUGUUUAGCCACCACUUAGAUUAUUUCAAGGUAGGAAUUGCCUCCACUGAAAAUUUAAGGCAUUAUAACAACAGGUUAAGCCACUGUUUGGGAUACCUGCAUCCCAUAUCUGAGUGCCAGAUCAAAUCCCAGUACCUCCGCCUCUGAUCCAGCUUCCUAUCCCAGCUUCCUGGGAGGAGCAGAGAUCAUUCAAGUGCUUGGGCCCCUGCCACCCAUGUGGGAGACCCAGAUAGAGUUCAGGCUCCUGGCUUCAGCUUGACCUAGCUCCGGUUGCAUGGAAGUUAUUUAUUCAUUCUCUCUCUCUCUCUCUCUCUCUCUCUCUCUCUCUCUCUCUCUCAUGUUUUUGAGAGAGAGACUUUAUAUUCUUCAUUUCAAGUGGGUUAAAAUAAACAUUAAAAAUUAAGACAGGGCAAACAUGUACAGUGGUUGUCAUCACUUGGGAUGCCUGCAUCAUGGAUCAGAAUGCUGGUUACAGCUACUUCGCCUCUGAUCCAGCUUCCUGCUAACGUGUAUCGUGGGAGGCAGCAAACAAUGGCUCAAGAAUUUGGGCCCCUGCCACCCAUGUGGGAGACCAGAUUGACUUUAGGGAGUGAGCUAGCAGAAGAGCUUGCUCUGUCACAAAAGAAUAAAAAUUGAGGCCCAAUUCUAUCUGGAGCCCUCCAUUAAAUGUAGAGGAGUUCAGAAUAGAAUCCGUGUUUGUUUGACAUUUACCCUAGCAAGUUAGACAUUUGUCAUAUAUUGGAGUGCCUAGAUUCAAUUCCUGGUCCCAGCUUCUGAGUGCAGCUUCCUGCCAAUGAAAACCUUGGAAGGCAACAGUGAUGGCUCAAGUAAUUGGGUUGCUGCCACCUAUGGGGAGACCUGGAUUGAGCUUUCAGUUUCUGGGCCCAGCUCUAGCUGUUGUGGGCAUUUCACAAUUGAACCAAUGGAACUAGUGCUCUUCCUUGCCCGUAUUCUCUUUCUUCCCCUCAAAUGAAUUGAUUCCUUAUUAAACAAACAAACCCAAGCUCCAAAAAAUUAAAAUUGCACAAAAACUGCUACUAGUAUUUUUCCUUUUAGAGGAAACAUGGGAAAAAAUUAUGUAGGGGGAUUUCUAGACCUGUCUAUCUCAGUUCUGUAUUCACACCAAAAACUACUAAUUGUGAUCCUUUUUGCACAUUUCUCAAACAUGCAGUAACAAUUUUGACACUAAGACCAGGUUACAAAAUUUCUAUAAUUUUAAAUGUAUUUUAAAGUGUUUCACUUAAAGAUGUAUAUUUUUUAAAAACUUUAAAUAUAGUGAUGGCGUUGUGGGACAUCAGGUUAAGCUACCACCGGCAAUGCUGGCAUCCCGUAUGGGCACUGGUUUGAGUCCUGGCUGCUCCAUUUCUGAUCCAGCUCUCUGCUAAUGUGCAUGGGAAAGCAGUGGGAAGAUGGCUCAAGUGCUUGGGUCCCUGUCACACAUGUGGGAGACCUGGAUGAAGUUCCCGGCUCCUGUCUUCAGCCUGCUCCAGCGCUGCCUAUUGUGGCCAUUUGGAGAGUGAAUCAGUUGAUGGAGGAUAUCUGUCUUUCCCUUCCCCUGUAACUCUGCAUUUCAAAUAAACAAAUCUUUAAAAAAUUAAAUCUAAAUAAGCUGUUGUUUGUGCUACAGCAAUUUUUUCCCAGUUUGCCUUCUGUGUUAAUCAGAAUCUUUUCUACUGUACCAUCCUAGAAAAAUUUCAAGAUUUCUGGAUUUUAUGUUGGUAAUUAACGACUAGUCGGAUUUUUUGAUGCCUCUCCCCUCCCUAAAUCAAUAGAUGUGCUUUCACAUGUUAAAUCUUUAAAAAGAUUUAUUUAUUGUAUUUGAAAGGCAGAGUUACAGAGAGAGAGGAAGAGACAAGAGAUCUUCCAUCUGCUGUCCUACUCCCCAGAUGGCUGCAAUGGCCAGACUUGGGCCAGUCCAAAGCCAGGAGCCAGUAGCUUCUUCUAGGUCUCCCACGUGGGUGCAGGGGCCCAAACAUUUGGAGCAUACUAAGCUGCUUUCCCAGGCACAUUUGCAGGAGCAGCCAGGACUCAAACCAUCGCCCCUGGGAUGCGGCAUCCCAGGUGGCAGCUUCACCUCCUAUGCCACAAUGCUGGCUCCUCACGUAUUAAGAAGGAAGUAAAUCAGUUUAGACAAAAACAUUGUUGGGCUGAUACAAUGCUAAUGAAAGUGAAGAGUGAUUUUGAAGUGCUUCUGAUCCACAUUGGGAACACUAGACCAACAUGUUUCUCUAAAUUGGUAUAUGAUACAAAUUUUUCAGUUCUGACUCAGAAGCACAUGUGUUGUUCAAUACAUAACUUGAGGAAGUUAAAUAGAACCUGUGUUUUGCAGAUAGGAAAAUUAGGUACCUGGGAAGUAAAACCUGGCUUGACAUGCAUUGAUCUGAAGCCAUUUGCAAGGUUUAUUCAUCCUAUGUAGUGUGAGGUUUUUUUUUUUUUUAAAGAUCCAUUUAUUUAUUUAUUUGAAAGGUAGAGUUACAGAGAGGCAGAGAUAGAAAGAGGUCUUCUGUCUGCUGUCUCAUUGCCCAAAUGGCCACAAUGGCCAGAGCUGGGCCAAUCUGGAGCUUCUUCAGGAUUUUCCACAUGGGUGCAGGGGCCCAGAGACUUGGGCCAUCUUCCACUGCUCUCCCAGGCAAUAACAGAGCUGGAUCAGAAGUGGAGCAGCUGGACUUGAAACGGUGCCCAUAUGGUAAGCUGGCACUGCAGGCAGUGGUUUUACCCGCUACACCACAGCACCAGCUCCUCUUUCUCUAUCUCUUUUUUUUUUUUUAAGACGACUUGUUCUCUUUUUUUUAUUUAUUUAUUUUUUUAUUUUUUGACAGGCAGAGUGGACAGUGAGAGAGAGAGAGAGAAAGGUCUUCCUUUGCCAUUGGUUCACCCUCCAAUGGCCGCCACGCCUGGCGCGCUGCGGCCGGCGCACCGCACUGAUCUGAUGGCAGGAGCCAGGAGCCAGGUGCUUUUCCUGGUCUCCCAUGGAGUGCAGGGCCCAAGGACUUGGGCCAUCCUCCACUGCACUCCCUGGCCACAGCAGAGAGCUGGCCUGGAAGAGGGGCAACCGGGACAGAAUCUGGCGCCCUGACCGGGACUAGAACCCGGUGUGCCGUUGCCGCUAGGCGGAGGAUUAGCCUAGUGAGCCGUGGCGCCGGCCCUCUCUAUUUCUUAAAAUAAAGCCUGCUCCCAUCCUUGCACUCUAUCUAGGUCUCUGCUUUGAAUCCUUAUCUCACAUGGAGGCAAGAGCCUGGAAUAAAUAUAGCUAGCGACUCUAUCCCCACAACACUUCCCAUUAUAUACAGUAUGUGGACUCUUGCCAUUCUAAACUACAUUCUUGUGAUCUCACCUGAUCCCAAAGAUUUAGGAUAAGGGACUGUUGGUUCGUAGUCAUUUCCUUUCCAGAAUAGUCAUCUAUAUCAUUUGGUGCUUCGAUGAUAUAGAAUAAUUUUAAUUCCAUUUUUUGACUUGCAGUCUUCAUGCAUACCAUGUGGUGUGAUUUUAUAUUUUUUUGUUUGUUCUUGUAUUUUUUAAAAGGGUUUAUUCAUUCAUUUAUUUAUUUGAGAGGCAGAGUUACAGACAGAGGGAGAGAAAGAGAGCAAGGUCUUCCAACCACUGGUUCACUCCCCAAAUAUCCACAAUGGCUGGAGUUGGGCCCAUCUGAAGCAGCAGCCAGGAGCUUCUUCUGGGUCUCCCAAGCUGUGCAGGGGCCCAAGCACUUGGUCCAUCUUCUACUGUUUUCUCAGGCCAUCAGCAGAGAACUGGAUUGGAAGUGGAGCAGCCAGGACUGGAACUGACGCCAGUAGGGGAUGCUGAUGCUACAGACAGAAGAUUAACCUACUAUGCCUUAGUGCCAGCCCCCCAAUUAUAUGUUUUGAAAAUUAUUAUGAAAACUAUGUAACAUCACUUGACCUGAAAACAGUAGAACCUACUAAUUGUAGGCUAAUGGAGAGAGUUUGAAAAUAAUCUUUAAAAUUCAAAAUGUUCCCCAAAAGCUAAUUACAUCUCAGAAUCAACUUGAUCCUACCUUAUAACUCUCCUUUUCCCUUAGUACAAAGCUGAAAAAUGGCUGAUUCAUACACCAAUAAGCUGUCUUUGGCAGCCAGAUGUUAUUUUUACCAAUAAAUGAUAUGUUAUUUUCUUUGGUUUGUCACAUUCUUAGCAGAUAUGCAAUGGUUGGUUAAUGGAUAAUGAAGUUGUUAAAUUAUAAAACUUUGAUUGAUUGAAUAGUCCUUUAAGUAAUAAUUGACAUAUCACCCUUUAUUUUCUGAUCCUAUUGUGAUAGAUUUUACACUAGUGAGAUGGACUGAUUCAGACAAUCAAGGAAAUACUGUGGAACAUCUCUGACAGAAUCUUGCCUGGUCCUAACAGGACACUGAAUUGGAGUAUGAGUCCCAGUGCAUUAGAACUAGACUGUGAAAGGGACAGGUAGAGAGGGUGACAUGUAUUGACAGUUGCUCUUGUUUUCAUGUGUUUAAUGACAUGAGCAUAAAGCCAUUACUGUAAUAUUUAAGUUUAUCUUGAAAGGAAAAGUGUGAAAUGGCUCCAGGAUUAGUUGGUUUUCAGUGAAAUAAGUUGUUUUCUUUCGGAACUUGAUUCAUUAUAAUUGCAGAAUCAAAGAAAAUGCUGUUUUAUCAAAGCCUGUUUAAUUCUGAAUUUACUUAAAUAUAGUUAUGUGGUAGAGCAUUUUUAGAUAGACUGCAUUCAUCUUUUCUGUUUUUGUCACCCAGUAAUAUACCUCAUCAUCAGCCAUAGCAAUAUGACUGGACAUGCAGGAGAACAAGUAUUCAUAAUAGAAUGUUAAGUUGCUUCCAUAAUCAGAUGGCAUUCCACUUUCCCUACCUUUUGUUCUCUUUUAUUUACCCACUUAUGUUUGUGUGCUAUUAACUAUAUUGCAAUAUAUGACCACUAAUCUGUAACCUUUGACAGCAUAAGCUAAACCAUAUUUUCACAUUCUCUUCUACACUUAAAACAGAGCUUUUGUUUCCUUAACAAGUAUUCAUUGGGUAUCCACUAGGUGUCAGAUAAUAUAGUAGGCAUAUUCUGAGAAUAUCAAGAUAAAUACAGACAUGCCUAUGGGAGUUUGACAGUCUUGUUGAGUAGAAGUGGAAGGAUAGAUGUGCAAGCCAAAAAUGCUACAGUAUAUUAUAACUAUUAAAAUGGCAAUAAAAUGCCAGAACUUUUCAUUUUAUAUUUAGUGAUCAUUCUAUAUCAAUUAAAUGCAUAAAAUGUAUAUGCUGGCAUGAAUGACUUAUAAUGGAAAAUGCUGAAUAGAACUGUAUGGAAAUUGAAUAAGACAUGCCAGUAGAAGGGGAGAUAUUUGAUUCCAGGCAAGCUAUUAUGCAGCAUGUAUUUUCAUCAUAGCUUUAGGGUAAAACCUGUAACCUCAAAACCAAUCACUAUUUUGUUCCUUUUUUGUUUUUGUUUUCUGUUUUUGGUUCCUCUAGCAUGUUAAAAUUUUACUGUCAGUUCUAAUUCUCAUCUAUCUUCCUUAGUCCUCACCCUUAAUUUUCACAUUUUCAUUUGCCCUAAUUAGUGCCAGCCUUAACUUUGAGUGGGCUAAGGUAGAGAACAAGAAAGUCAUUUUCAAAAACAUUUCACCAAUAAGCCUGCCUCAGUGACUAAGUUUCCAGUGUUGUAAUGUCAUUCUUGGGCUUGGCGUCUGUUAGUGUAGCAGGUAAAGCCACUGAGAUGCCAGCAUCCCACAUGGGGGCCUGUUCAGGUCCUAGCUGCCCCGCUUCUGAUCCAGCUCCCUGCUAAUGGCCUGAGAAGGCAGUGGACUAUGGCCCAAGUGUUUAGGCCCCUGUCACCCUCGUGGGAGACCCAGAUGAAGCUCCUGACACUUGCCUUUGGCCUGGUCCAAUGCUGGUCAUUGCAGCUAUCUGGUGAGUGAACCAGUAGAUGGAAGAUGUCUCUCUCUCUCUCUCUCUCUCUCUCUCUCUCUCAUUUUCAAAACAAAUAAUGAAUUUUUAGAAGCCCGGGAUUGCACUAUAGUUGCCUAUUGACCCGGAAAACUUAUAGGCAAAACAGACCAUGAGUUAUAUUUUUUCCUUUUAAACUUUUUAAAUUAAUUUUAAAAUCUAUGUAUGUAAGAUUCAUUCUUUUGGUGUAUAAUUCUAUGAAGUUUGAUAAAUGCAUGGUCAUGUAAUCACCACCACAGUCAAGAUAUAGUUCCAUCACCCAAAAUAUUCUUUUGUGCUGCCUCAUUUAUAAUUUUAAGUUAAAAAUAAUUAUUUUAUUUUUCAAAAAAUAUUUGAAUAUUCCAUUUUAAUUAAUUCCUUAUUCAAAAAGUAUGUCUUGGCCGGCACCGUGGCUCAAUAGGCUAAUCCUCCGCCUUGAGGUGCUGGCACACCGGGUUCUAGUCCCAGUCGGGGCACCGGAUUCUGUCCCGGUUGCCCCUCUUCCAGGCCAGCUCUCUGCUAUGGCCCGGGAGUGCAGUGGAGGAUGGCCCAAGUGCUUGGGCCCUGCACCCCAUGGGAGAUGCCUUCGGAUCAGCGCAAUGCGCCAGCCGUGGUGGCCAUUGGAGGGUGGAGGGUGAACCAACGGCAAAAAAAGGAAGACCUUUCUCUCUGUCUCUCUCUCUUACUGUCCACUCUGCCUGUCAAAAAAAAAAAAAAAAAAGUAUGUCUUGGGGCCAACACUGUGGCAUAAUGUGUAAAGCCACUAUCUGCAAUGCCAGCAUCCCAUAUGGGCACCAGUUCGAGUCCUGGCUGCUCCUCUUCUGAUCCAGCUGUCUACUAUGGCCUGGGAAAGCAGUAGAAGAUGGCCCAAGUCCCUGGGCCCCUGCACCUGCAAGGGAAGACCCAGAGGAAAUUCCUGGCUCCUGGCUUUGGAUCAGCGCAGCUCCAGCCGUUGCAGCCAAUUGGGGUGUGAACCAGCGAAUGGAAGAUUCAUUCAUUCUCUCUCUCUCUUUCUGGCUCUCCUCUCCUUUGUAACUCUGACUUUCAAAUAAAUAAAUAAAUCUUAAAAAAAAUAAAAGUUUAUCUUGGGGGCUGGUGCUGUGGUAUAGCAGGUAAAGCUGCCACCUGCAGUGCCGGCAUCCCCUUUGGCUGCUGGUUCGAGUCCUGGCUGCUCCACUUCUGAGCCAGCUCUCUACUGUGGCCUGGGAAAGCAGAAGAGGAUGGCCCAAGUCCUUGGGUCCUUGCACCCACAUGGGAGACUUGGAAGAAGCUCCUGGCUCCUGGCUUUGGAUUAGUGCAGCUCUGGCCAUUGAGGCCAACUGGGGAGUGAACCAGUGGAUGGAAAACCUCUCUCUCUCUCUGCCUCUGCCUCUGUGUUGCUCUGCUUUUUGGAGUUAAGACUCUCUCUCUCUCCUUCCUUCCUUCCAUCCCUCCUUCCUUCCUUCCUUCCUUCAGAGAAGGAGGAGAGAGAUCUUCCAUCAGCUAGUUCAUUCCCUAGUGGCUGCAACAUCCAGGGCUGGGCCAGGCUGAAGCCAGGAGCCAGAAGCCUUUUCAGGGUCUCCCACUUGGAUGCAGGGGCCUAAGCACCUGGGCCGUCUACCGCCACUCUCCCAGGAGCAUUAGCACGGAGCUGGAUCAGAAGUGGAGCAACUGGGACUUGAACCAGCACCCAUAUGGGAUGUUGGCACUGCAAGCAGUGACUUUACCCACUAUGCCGCAGUGCCGGCAUCAAGACUACCUUUUCUUUUUUAAGAAAGAUUUAUUUGUUCAUUUAUUUGAAAGGCAGAGUUAUACACAGGCAGAGGCCGGGGGGGUGGGGGGUGGAGAGAGGUUUUCCAUCCACUGGUUCACUCCCAAACUGGCCGUGGUGGUCGGCACUGCACCAAUCCGAAGCCAGGAGCCAGGAGCUUCUUCUGGGUUCCCACAUGGGUGCAGGGACCCAAAGAUUUAGACAAUCCUCCACUGCUUUCCCAGGAAAUAGCAGAAGCUGGAUCUCAAACUGGUGCCCAUAUGGGAUGCUGGUACUGCAGGUGGCAGUUUUACCUGCUACGCCACAGCACUGACCCCAAGACUGCACCUUUUCUUUCUUUCUUUUUUAUUUAUUUAUUUUUUAAAUUUUUUGGCAGAGUGGACAGUGAGAGAGAGAGACAGAGAGAAAGGUCUUCCUUUUGCUGUUGGUUCACCCUCCAAUGGCCGCCGCGGCCAGCACACUGCGGCCGGCGCACUGCGCUGAUCCAAUGGCAGGAGCCAGGUGCUUCUCCUGGUCUCCCGUGGGGUGCAGGGCCCAAGCACUUGGGCCAUCCUCCACUGCAGUCCCUGGCCACAGCAGAGAGCUGGCCUGGAAGAGGGGCAACCAGGACAGAAUCUGGCGCCCCCACCGGGAGCCUAGUGAGCCGUGGCGCCGGCCAAGACUGCACCUUUUCUAAUAAGCCUCUGUAGAGAUAUGUACAAGGAGAGGCUAAACAUUACUCCACUGUUCCUUAGUUUGUAGUUAAACUGCUGAAAAGAAUUAGGAGUCAGAAAAGAUCAAGGGUGUGUAUGCUGGGUUGGAUAGGAGAUAGGAGUUCUGAACAUUGAGGAGAUUAGAGCCUGUAGACACAGUAAUGUGCAUGGUGGUGUAGAUAUGGAUAGUGUUUUAAGUAGUGUCAGAGCACUGGAUUCUAAGAUAGGGAACAUCAAAGAAAGAGGAAAUGAGUCCUUGAAGAGGAGUGGUCUUCAUGUAAAAAUUGAUCUAUCUUACUCUAGAGCUAUAGAGCUGGAAUUCUAGUACUGAUUCUACCAGUAACUUGUUCUUGAAAAGGCACCUCCCCUGUCUGGACUUAAAUUUCAUCAUCUGUCAAAGAGAAGACUGGAUUAAAUAUGUUUAUUUCAGUGUUCUUUACUAGAGAUAAAAUUUAUGUCUGUGCUUUUCUAAGGUUUUGUUCUCAAGUUCUUGGGUUUUCUCUAAUUUAUUUGAAAGAGAGAGAAAAGGAGAGAGAGAGAGAAACUCCCAUCUGUGCUGGUUUACUUUCCAAAUGCCCACAACAACCCUGGGCCAAGGGCCAAUGCCAGGAGUCAGAAAAUCAAUCUGGGCCUCCCACAUGGGUAGCAGAAAUCCAACUACUUGAGCCAUCGCCACUGCCUUCAAGAAAGCUGGAGUCAGGAACAGAGGUGGGUAAUGAACCCAGACACUCUGAGGCAGGAUGCUGGUAUUCUAACCCUAUUGAUAAUUCCCAAUGUUCUUCUAUUCUUACUUCCCCUGAGUCUGCAGCUGUUGUUCUUCUGGUUUGAUUUUUGUUUUUUAAUUUUUGUUAGUUACUUCUAUAGGCUGAGACUUUUGCUAUUUAACAUACAUUAUUUAAAGACUUCUGUUGUGCUUCUAUGCUUUGUAGGUGCUCAGAUAUGGCAAAAUCACACCAUGCCUCCCACUCCUACCCUGGAUAGCAAAUUCUUACAGCAGAUCUCAUUUCAAUGAAUAUUUAAAGAAGCGCUAGAGAUGGGGAAGAUGGGGGAAAGAUAUGUGUGUCUUUAAAUUGAUAAGGAAAAGGAAAAGAACUAACAUUUGAGGGCCUACUUUGUGCUAGGUUCUUUCUGCUUGGUAUAUUCUUUAGGUCAUUGAGAUAAACAGGUAGACAUCAUCUAGGAAGACUGUCUUGGUAACCAAAACAAAACAAAACAAAACAAAAAAAGGAUUUCACAUCACAAAUCACUGGAACUAUUCAGAAUACUUGUUUUCCAUGUCAUUGAGGGCAAUGAAAGCAUAAUGCCUCUAUAUGGUGUUUGGUAGAUAUUUGUUGAAUAAGUAGGUAUUUUUCUCAUGAUCUAUGAAAUUACUUCUUCCUAUUUUGGGUCUGUGAACCUCUAAGAAUUUUAUAAGAACUAUGAACUCAUCUAGGAUUUUACCCCUGCCAUACACACACACUAUACACAAAAAGAAAUAGCCAAGUCCCUGUCCUUGCCUUAACCACCUCCAUGUCUACAUUUUUAUAUGUUUCCCUCUAUCUCUCUCUCUCUUUAAAUAUUUACUCAUGUAUUUGAAAGGUAGAGUUACAGAGAGAGAGAGAUCAUCCAUCUGUUGGUUCACUCUCCAAAUGGCCACAACAGCUGGAGCUGGGCCCAUCUGAAGCCAAGAGCCAGGAGCUUCUGGGUCUUCCCCGUGGGUACAAGGGCCCAAGUACUUGAGCCAUCUUCUAUUUCUUUCCCAGGCUCAUUAGCAGAGAGUUGUAUCAGAAAUGGAGCAACCAGGACUUGAAACAGUGCCCAUAUGGGAUGCCAGCAAUGCAGGCAGUAGCUUUACCCGCUAUGCCACAGUGCUGUCUUCUAUAAAUAUAUUUUGCAAAACCCAAUCUUUCAGAAUGUUUACAGCCCUGUUGGGUCCAUUCACAUGCUCCAGGUUUAGAACUCAGCUCUGGAAAGACGUCUUGGUACCUAGGUAGCAUAGGAGCACAGUUCCACUAAAUUAGAGCACUGCAUAAUGCAGUCUAGUGCUGCCAUGCUUUAUCAGUCCCUUACGGACAAGAAAAUCAUACCAUGCCUGCUGACCAUCUACUAGUGGUUAUCUUCGGUUUUCUUUUAUGAGCAGAACUUGCAUCCAGCUUUCUUUCAGAUUCAUUAAUGUGUGCUACAAAGAAAAGAAAAUCAGUGCUGGAGCCAGAGUGGUGUAGUGAGUUAAGCUGCCAUUGAGAUGCCAGCAUCCCAUAUCAGAGUGCCAGUUCCAGUCCUGGCUACUUUGCUUCCUGCUAAUGCACCUGGGAAGGCAUCAGAAGAUGGCCCAGGUACUUGGGCCUCUGCCACACACAUGAGAGUUCCUAGCUCCUAGCUUCAGCCUGGUCCCACCCUGUUUGCUGUAGCCAUUUGGUGAGUGACCCAGUGAAAGGAAGAUCGAUCUCUGUCUUCCUCCACCCUGCCCUUGCUCUUUAAAUAAAUGAAUAUAUAAAUCUCAAAAGAAGAAAAUCAGCAUCGUACACUUUAUCCUUUUUAGAUUUUUGUAGUACUAAUUAUGCAAAGAACUUAUUUGUCCCAAAGUUUAUCCUCCAAGGGGGGUAACAUGUUUUCUAGAUAGAAUAAUCUUUAUUUCCUUUUGUACAGGUCCCCAUUCAGAAACUCACUUAGAACUCUGCUUGGGCAGUGUCCUCUUCUGUGAAAUUUUACACAGGUACAGAAAGAUGAUGAAAAAAUUGUCUUUCCUCAUAGUGGAGGAGAAUGACGUGUAAAACAAAUAUUCCAAAUAAUUCCAGAUGGGAUAAAAACCACUCCAACAAAAUUUUGGUGGCUACAUUCAUUAAAGGAAGACUAAGUGCCAUGUAAACUAUAAAAUUUUCUCAAUACCUGUCUGGCCCUUACCUUGCUAGAGAAACUUCAGGGCUAAGUACAGUCUUAUCUUACUUUAUCUCCAGUUAUAUUUUCCCUAGUAUACAAAACAAGAUUACACCUAACAUAGGCCUGUGAUAGAAGAAACUAGAAUUGUUCACUGUUAUCUACUUAUUUGAAAGGCAAAGUUACAAAGAGAAAGAGAGACAGAGAGAGAGAAAGAGAGAGUGCUCUUCUAUAAGCUGGUUCACUCCCCCUGCUUUCCCACGUGCAUUAGCAGGGAAUUGGAUCGGAAGUGGAGCAGCUAGGACUUGAAUUGGCACCCAUACUGGAUGCUGGCAUCCCAGGCAGCAGUUUUACCCACUAUACCUCAACGCUGACCCCCACUAUUACUAUUAAAGUACAAAACAGAGAGGGAAUUUGUUGAUCCAAUGGAUUAAUGUUUUGAGCAUUUAAUAUAUGCCAAGGGCUUUUACAUUCUUAAUUUAAGUUUUAAAUAAACUUUCUGCAUGGAGAGUGACAGAAUCCAUAGUGCACUUGCCCCAGGCAACACAGUUAUAGCUAACACUUGAAUGAUUACUAUAAGCAAAGGCACUACAUGCAUUUACAGGCAUUUCAUUCACAUUUCUCAUUUAAUCUUUCUAAUAAAUCCAGAAGAUUCAAUUUAUAUUGCCAUUCCUAGUUUGUCUAGAAAACUGAAACUUAUAAGAGCUUAGAAAAUUUGCCCAACAGUAUUGCAAAGAUGGGACUUUGAGCCCUGGCUGAUUUGACACCAUUCCAAUGUACUUCUAAGCUUCCAGCACUAAUCAUGCAGCAUCACCAUCAGUUAUGAAAUAAUGUGACUGUCCAUGGCAGGGAGUCAGUGAGGGAGAUAUUGAGGGUGAGUCACUGCACUGCUUCUGAAAGAUGUGAUACCUUCCCUUGCAAACAAGUUUCUUGGGGUGAAAUCAGGUUGGAAAGACAAGAGAGGGAGAAGAAGGUGGAGGUGGUGUAGUUGGGCCUGUUUAGGAACUGAUUACAGCUGAGCCUCUGGCCCUUUUCCCUGCCAGCUGACUCAGAGCCGGUAGAUGGGCCAUAGCCCAGGCAGGUUGAUUUCAUGGACUGUGUACUUCAAAGGAUCUGAUUCCUGGCACUGCUAUGCACUGUGCUUUUCAGAGGGCAUAGCCUUGUGUCGGGGAGGGAACAGGAUGGUCUCCAUGAGAUGUUUGUGAAAGCUGGAGGCAAUGUUUGCUCUGAAUCCAAAUAUAUUGGUAUGCAGCUUGUUCUGAGUUUGGCAGUAAAAACCACAUGGCUAGUCCUAGUUAAGGCUGAAAAUUGAGUAUUUAAACCAUAAGUAUCCUGCAGAACAACAAUGGUUAGACAUGGGCCUUAGAGUCAGAUAGACCUGGUUUCCAGUAUUGGAUUCACGAUUCAACUGUGUAUAAGUUACUAGGCCUCAGUUUUCUCAUGUGUAAAAUGGGCAUUGCAGUAAUGCUUACUUUACAUGUUUAUUUUGAGUAUUAAAGAAAAAUGAGUACAAGGCAUAUACCAUAGUACCUAGGACAUAAUAACACUCUUGAAAUGUUAGUCAUUAUUCAAUGAAAACUCCUAUUUUAUAAGAGAAUCUCAGAGCUUAAACAGAAUGAAUUAAUUGGUUCAUUAUUUCACUUAUCAGACAUUCAAAAGGCAUUUAUCACUGUGUUGGGUGGGAGGGAUAGAGAAAACAACUUUUGUUCAGCAACUAAAAUGAGCUGAUUUCUAAGAAAAUUAUUUUCUCCUUUAAUAUUCACAGUUGCCCUAUAAAGUAUUUUUCCCAUGUUAUAGCUGAGGUCACAGACUGGGAAGGGUUUAGUAACAUGCCUAAGAUCAUAUAGUCAGCACGGUCCUACUUCAAAGACUGUGAAAAAGGGUGCCUUUAACCUACUGGCCCAAGUUACUCAGCAGGCAGCCACGUGCCCCGGUACCAAAGUGCUGUUGUCAGGCUUUAUACUAGGUGCUUGGUAGCACAGGGCAGGAAGGGCAAACUCUGGGGGUGGAGUGAAGGUAGUUUCCUUCACAGGAAUAAAUGCUGGUAGGAUGGCUUCUGGUGGGAAUGAGGUAGGGGACUUUUGUUGGUGGAGGAGUUAUGGGAGCUUUUCCUGGGUUUCCCAAAGUCACACUAAAAGAUUGGAGGAAGGUUUUUCUUGCCUUUUGGAUCUAGCAAUACAAUUGCAGCAAAUUUUAGCUAGCAAAGGAACUGUCUCCAGAGAGAUCAGACAGUGUUGCUUAUUUGAGGUGAAAAGGUGGAAGUUAUAUAUAAAUGAUAUCUGUCUGCAUCAUAAUCAUGUGGACUUCCUUGGGCUUUGGAACUGAACCUCAUAUUAAUAAUAGCAAUUAGUUUUUACUACAUGAUGAUUGGUAUUUAUCACUGCUGUGUUCAUAGGCUAGAACUCUUAGCUGGAUAAAGAUAGAAAGACUUUUUCUAAGUCACAAAUCUCAAAUUAUGUGUACUUAAUUUGAGUAUAUACCCCAAAUAUAUAUGUAUCACUUUGCAAAUUAUACACAGACACUAUUGUACUAAUACAGGACAUGCUUUAUGAAGUAUAUCAAAAAUGAAGUUGAAAUAAACUAUUUUAUCUCAGGGAAAAUAUGUACUUUUGUACCUGAUCAUUAAUAGUGGAUAUAAAUUAAUAUUUCAGGAAGACUUUGUAAUAGUUUUAGAUUCUUUUUGGUCAAUUUGUCAAAUUUGAUUCAACAAUCUGUAUUUAACUUACAAUGUGACUAAUAAAGCACUCACACUAGGCCAGCGCCACGGCUCAAUAGGCUAAUCCUCUGCCUACGGCGUCGGCACACCGGGUUCUAGCCCUGGUCGGGGCGCCGAAUUCUGUCCCGGUUGCUCCUCUUCCAGUCUAGCUCUCUGCUGUGGCCCAGGAAGGCAGUGGAGGAUGGCCCAAGUGCUAGGGCCCUGCACCCGCAUGGGCAACCAGGAGGAGCACCUGGCUCCUGGCUUCGGAUCAGUGCGGUGCGCCGGCCGCAGCAGCCAUUGAGGGGUGAACCAACGGAAAAAGGAAGCCUUUGUCUCUCUCUCUCACUGUCCACUCUGCCUGUCAAACAAACAAACCUCACACUAAGUAGAAGUGUAGUUCUGCGGGUUUUUUUUCUUGUCCUUAUAUGUAUCAUCUUCAACUCACAAGGUGUUCUCAGCAAUCUUUUUAAACCAAUUGUUCACUUUGUGCAAUUUAACUUAGUGAAAAUUAGAUUCAAAAAUCUUUAAAUCCCUUUUUAAACUGCAGUAUGUUGCCAAAUGCUGAAAGAGCCUCCAUUUAUGCUUUACCUGACAUGAGCACCCAAAGGGACCAUGUAGGGAUGUCAUCUUAAUGGAGCUUAUGACUGUUGUUUUAUCAAAUAGCAAACAUAAGUGGACAUUACAAGCAUUCUAGCCACACCUCAAUGGAUUGACUUGCAUACCUCUAGAAUGAGCACACUUCAUUUUGGCAAUCAGUAGUGUAAGGAACAGGACCUGUGGCCAUAAUGUGAGAAUAACUAACCCUAUCUUGAGCAAUGUUUGGCUCAGAUUCAUUUAUGAAUGAUAAAUGGAAAGAGUAAAACAAGGUUUUUCGAGAAAUCAGAAGAUCUGAGUGUAUCUGAACACUUAAGAGUGUGGAAUUUCUGUACAAAGUCAGAAGCUACAUUUGGCAGGUGCCUCAAUGAAAUACUUCCCAGUUUUUAUUUAUUUAUUUAUUUUUUUUUAGAUAAAUUGCCCAUAGAUUUAAUCCCAGCCCUGCUAUUGACUAGCAAUACCACUUGGGGGAAAGCAACAACCUCUUGGAAUAUAUUGCUUGUCUCUGACAUGAAGAUGAUUAAUAUUUUACCUCACUGAGUAAAGCCUCACUGGCUUUACCGAGUGCAAGAGAUAUGGAGAUAAACUCUUUACAAGCAUCCAUUUAAUCUUCAACACGUUAGUGAGUAGAGGCUAGUUGGUUCACGCAUCUGUUUUCUUUUUGCUCCUGAGCACACAGAGAAACUUCAUCUCCUGGUUCCUCUCACAUUUAGGUACCAUCACAUUACAGGGUUCUAGCGAUGGAAAUAGUGGUAAAAAUGAUCACCACUGUCUCCAGGUCCACAGAACUGUUCCUUGUAAUUCUUCAUGCUCUCUUUCUUCCCUCAUCAGAGGAUUAAACAGAAUUAUUGGUGUGAGAAAGUUCUCUCUUCCCGUCCCUACCACCAACCUGUACUGCACUCUGAUGUGAGCCACAUUUUACUGUGUCAAAUCAUUGAGAUGUGUGGGAUUGCUUGGUACAUCAUUUAGUGUACUCUAAUUCCACAAGAUUUGAUCAGAACACAGUGAGGGGAGAAAUAAAUCAUUUAUAAUUUCUGUCACAUAAUGUCCCAUUAAGCCUUACUAACUUAAGAAAGAUGUAAAAUACUUUUAUGAGAUAACUUAGGAGCAAGCGUCUGUAAAAGUCCUUCAAGUAAAGUGUGAAAAAUGUCAAGAAUCAAUUUGGAGCAGGUGUUAUGGCACAGCAGGUCAAGCCACUGCUUGGGAUACCCGCAUCCCAAAUCAGAGUGUCUGGUUCAAGUCCUGGCUACUCUGUGCUUCCAAUUCAGCUUCACGCUAAUGCACAUGGGAGGCAGCAGAUGGCCCAACUACCUGGGCUCCUGCGACCCAUGUUGGGGACCCAGAAGGAGUGCCGGGCUCCUGGCUUUUUUGUGGCUUAUUUCCAGCUAUUGCAGACAUUUGGGCAGUGAACCAGUAGAUGAAAGAUCUCUGUCACUCUGUCUUUCAAAUUAAUUACUAAAAAAAAAAGGAGUAUCAGCAUAGCCUCUCAAAAACAUUUGCCUCUAUCAUCCUUAUCAUGAUCUUCCCCUCAGUGCUAAGUUUUUGAAACAUUCAGGAGCUGGACAAUGGUUUUGAAGAUGUGAUAAAUACUCAUGGAGCUAUGUAACAAAAAGGAAGAAAAUAAGUGUUGUGUUAAGACAGACUGACCUUCAGUCUGGGCACAGCAACCACCUAGCUAUAUAUGAUCCCACUCUUAGGAGUCAUAGUAAAAUGAAUAUGGUAGGGGCUGGCACUGUGGCAUAGUGGGUAAAGCCACCACCUGCAGUGCCAGUAUCCCAUAUGGGCACUGGUUCGAGUCCUGGCUGCUCCACUUCCAAACCAGAUCUCUGCUAUGGCCUGGGAAAGUGGUUAAAGAUGGUCCAGGUCCUUGGGCCCCUGCAUGCACGUGGGAGACCAGGAAGAAGCUCUGGGCUCCUGCCUUCGACCUGGUCCAGCCCUAGCUAUUGUGGCCAUUUGGGGAGUGAACCAAAGGAUAGAAGAUCUCUUUCUCUCUCUCUGUGUAUCUCUUCCUCUAUCUUUAAUUUUGCAUUUCAAAUAAAUAAAAAAUCUUUAGAAAGGAAAGGAAAAAGAUAAGACAGAAGAGACUUUGCAGUCUUUAUCUCACAAAUUGGCAGUUGAUUUUUUAAGAAACCAGGUGCUAGCACAAGAACUGGUAUUAGGAUGUGCUGCUGUUACUGACAACUACUACACUAUCAGAAAAUAAUACUGAAGGUUUUACAACCAGGGUGUUCCCCAGAUCAGGACAAGGGUGACGCAGCACUAGACUGAGACAGCUUCAUUUUGCCAGGCCUUUGUGCUAUUCUUGAGGCGAUAUCCUGUCCAUGGAGAAUUGCAGUUGGGAGAAAGACCACCUAGGAGGAAAGCACUUUUGAACAGCAUGUUUUACAGCAUCUCCUGUGUUCAUUUGUUCUUUCUUUUUGCUUUUUUACUCAAUGGAACCUUGCUGAAGAACCAGUCAUGUACCAGGACUAUACUGAUCACUGAAAAUGAGAGAAAUAUAUCCUCAGUCAGGUUUUGAGGGAACUCUGUGACAAUCAUGUUAGGCUUCACAGCUUAGAGGUCCAGAUAUGUUCUCUGGAGGAAAAGGGCACAAGCUACCAUCUAUGGUGGGGAAAGUAUGAGCUUUGGCAUCAGAGGGAUCAGCAUUCCAAUCAGGGUACAACUCACUUCCUGUGUGAACUUGAGCAAAUCUCUCACAUCUCUAAACCCCUAUUCUCUCAUCUGUUAAGUAAGAAUGACACACUUUCCGUGAAAGGUGAUUAUGAAGAUUCAAUGGGGUCAGUGAUAUGAUGUGCCUGGCCCUUAAUGGAGAGCCCCCUUCUCAUGAAAAUGCUGUCCCUCUGCCUCUGCAACUUCUCCAUUCCACUCCGGGUUACACUGUUAUCUUUUGUGGUUUCUUUUCUUCCUUUAAACCUGACCUGAAUUUACAUUAAAACCUGGUCUCAUACCCAUAAUAAUGAUAAUAAAAUAAGUGGAGAAGUGGGUGUGAUACACAGUGUACUUUCCCCUAGCUAGGAAGCCAUCCUCCCACUCUUCUUCCCACACAACCAUUACUGUGUUAAACACAAAUUACCAGGUCUCAAUGGCUAGGAAUCCUUCAUUGUCCAUAUCAUGUGUUUCUGGCUUUCCAAGAUUUUUCCAUCUGAAAGAGUGUAUUUCAUAUGAGGCACUACUUCCACAUUUGUUCUUUUUUUUUUUUUUUAAGAUUUACUUAUAUAUUUGAAAGGCAGACUUACAGAGAGAGGAGGAGAGACAGGGGGAGAGAGAGAGAGACCUUCCAUCUGCUGGUUCACUCCCCAAUGGCCAUGACAGUGGGGCUGGGCCAGGCUGAAGCCAAGAACCUAGAACUCCACCCAGGCCCCCAAAUGGGUAGCAGGGGCUCAUGCACUUGGGCCAUCAUCUACUGCUUUCCAGGUACUUGAGCAGGGAGAUGGAUCAAAAGCAUAACAGCCAGGAUUUGAACUGACACUUGCAUAUGUGAGCCAGCAUUGGAAGCUGUGGCUUAACCUACGGCACCGCAAUGCCAGCCUCCACAUUUGCUUUUAUUCUUCAGUAACUGAUCUGAUUAUUCAGAGGAAAAACAGAUCAUGUAAGCAAGUUGACUCUAAAGGAAUUCUGAGUAUUUCAUUCUUGGGCCCUUGAAGCAGCAGGACAAAAGUCCUUUGUCUUCUCCUGCUUAGGACGGUGUUGGUUCCUUGUGUAUAUUUGAAACUGGCUGUAAACAGAAAGUAAUUUAUUUACUUAAUUCUAUACUCAUUAAUUAACUCAAUAGGCAUUUAUUGAGCAACAAAUAUGUGCCAGGUCUGUGCUAGAUCUUGGAGAUGAUGUACAAGUGAGAAAUAUAGAUUAGACUCCUACCCUCAUGAAACUUACAUUCCACCAAGGUAGACAGCAAGACCUGAGUUGGAGAAGUUAAUUUUAGAGAAAUUAAGGGCUAUAAAAUGAGAGUGAGAAGGCUGGCAGAAGUCAAAUUAAGUAGGGUUUUGUCAGCUAGGACUCCGGAUUUUACUGUAGUCACAAUUCAUUCAGACUUCAACAAACACUGAUUGAAUGUGUAAAUGUUUCAGGCACUGUUCUAAACACUGAACAUGCAUCAGUAACAAACAUAAAAAUCUCUUCCUCUUGACAGUUAUAUUCUAGUGAGUGACAGAGGCGAUGAACAAAGUAAAUAACUUAAAUAGAUGUUUUGUUGUUGUUGUUGUUGUUGUUUGGAUAGGCAGAGUGGACAGUGAGAGAGAGACAGAGAGAAAGGUCUUCCUUUUGCCAUUGGUUCACCCUCCAAUGGCCGCCGUGGCCGGUGUACCGCUCUGAUCUGAAGGCAGGAGCCAGGUGCUUAUCCUGGUCUCCCAUGGGGUGCAGGGCCCAAGCACUUGGGCCAUCCUCCACUGCACUCCCUGGCCACAGCAGAGAGCUGGCCUGGAAGAGGGGCAACCGGGACAGAAUCUGGUGCCCCGACUGGGACUAGAACCUGGUGUGCUGGCGCCGCAAGGCGGAGGAUUAGCUAUUGAGCCAUGGCGCUGGCUAAAUAGAUGGUAUUUUUGAUAACACUAAAGAGAACAAAAUAUAAAAAAAGCAGUUAAGAAGUACAGGGUUAUAAAUUUAGGUGAGAGUAGCCAGAUAAGGACUUACUUUAAAAUUACAUUUUAGUAAAGAUUUGAAGUGUCCAUGUCUAUGUCCAGAGGCAGAACCAGGCCAUUCCGAUGUUUAGAAGUCAGAAAUGGAGGCCAGCAUUGUGGUGCAGUGGGUAAAGCUGCCACCUGCAAUGUUGGUAUACAAUAUGGGCACCAGUACAUGUCCCAGCUGCUCCACUUCCAAUCCAGGUCCCUGCUUAAUUGCCUGGGAAAACAGCAGAAGAUGGCUCAAGUGUUUAGGCUCCCACCACCCACGUGGGAGACCUGGAUGAAGUUCUUGGCCUCUGGCUUCAUCCUGGCCCAGCCCUGGCCAUUGCGGCCAUCUGGGGAGUGAACCAGGAUAUGGAAGAUCUCUCUCUCUCUCUCUCUCUCUCUCUUUCUCUCUCUUCUCUCUCUCUGUAACUCUGACUUUCAAAUAAAUAAAUCAGUCUCAAAAAAAAAAAAAAAAAAAGGAGAAAGAAGUAUCUGGAAAAGUAAGAGAAAAAUCAGCCAUUUGCCCUGAAAGAAACUUUUUCUAUAUUUUGGUUUUUUUGGGGGUUAUGCUUAGGAACUUUUCACCUAUAUCAUGGCAGAUACUCUCCUAUGUAAUUUCUUAGGAUUUAUAUCAUCUUUGGAACUGGCGCUGUGGCAUAGUGGGUUAAACCACUGCCUGCAAUGCCAACAUCCUUAUGAGCCCUGGUUCGAGUGCUGGCUGGUCCCCUUCUGAUCCGGCUCCCUGCUAAUGUACCUGGGAAAGCAGGGUAGUAUGGUCCAAGUCCUUGGGCCCUUAGCAUCCACGUGGGAAACCCAGAAGAAGCUACUGGCUUUGGUCUGGUCCAGCUCCAGACAUUGCAGCCAUUUGUGGGGUGAACCAGUGGAUGGAAGAUCUCUCUGUCACUCCCUCACUUUCCUUCUGUAACCCUGCCUUUCAAGUAAAAUAAAUGAGUCUUUAAAAAAA